Molecule: ribosomal RNA, 563 nt
Filed under: uncultured bacterium
Lineage: Bacteria
Description: partial 16S ribosomal RNA
Rfam family: Bacterial small subunit ribosomal RNA
Source: RNAcentral
UGGGGAAUAUUGCACAAUGGGCGAAAGCCUGAUGCAGCAACGCCGCGUGAGUGAUGAAGGCCUUCGGGUUGUAAAGCCCUGUCUUUUGGGGGCGAUAAUGACGGUACCAAAGGAGGAAGCCACGGCUAACUACGUGCCAGCAGCCGCGGUAAUACGUAGGUGGCAAGCGUUGUCCGGAUUUACUGGGCGUAAAGGAUGCGUAGGCGGAUUUUUAAGUGAGAUGUGAAAUACCCGGGCUUAACUUGGGUGCUGCAUUUCAAACUGGGAAUCUAGAGUGCGGGAGAGGAGAAUGGAAUUCCUAGUGUAGCGGUGAAAUGCGUAGAGAUUAGGAAGAACACCAGUGGCGAAGGCGAUUCUCUGGACCGUAACUGACGCUGAGGCAUGAAAGCGUGGGUAGCAAACAGGAUUAGAUACCCUGGUAGUCCACGCCGUAAACGAUGAGUACUAGGUGUAGGAGGUAUCGACCCCUUCUGUGCCGCAGUUAACACAAUAAGUACUCCGCCUGGGAAGUACGAUCGCAAGAUUAAAACUUAAAUGAAUUGACGGGGUCAUAGCUGUUUUCC